AUACAGAGGGUGCAAGCGUUAAUCGGAAUUACUGGGCGUAAAGCGCGCGUAGGCGGUUUGAUAAGUCGGAUGUGAAAUCCCUGGGCUCAACCUGGGAACUGCAUUCGAAACUGUCUGACUAGAGUAUGGUAGAGGGUGGUGGAAUCCCUAGUGUAGCGGUGAAAUGCGUAGAUAUUAGGAGGAACAUCAGUGGCGAAGGCGACCACCUGGACCAAUACUGACGCUGAGGUGCGAAAGCGUGGGGAGCAAACAGGAUUAGAUACCCUAGUAGUCC
This 274-nucleotide ribosomal RNA is filed under the name uncultured bacterium. RNAcentral's name for it is "partial 16S ribosomal RNA". It matches the Rfam family "Bacterial small subunit ribosomal RNA", at positions 523 to 796 of the family's 1533-position model. The record is from RNAcentral.